CCCUUAGAUGUUCUGGGCCGCACGCGCGCUACACUGAUGAAUUCAACGAGCUCCUAACCUAGGCCGAAGGGUCCGGGUAAUCUUUGAAAUUUCAUCGUGAUGGGGAUAGAUUAUUGCAAUUAUUAAUCUUCAACGAGGAAUUCCUAGUAAGCGCGAGUCAUCAGCUCGCGUUGAUUACGUCCCUGCCCUUUGUACACACCGCCCGUCGCUCCUACCGAUUGAAUGGUCCGGUGAAAUGUUCGGAUCGCGGCAAAUCGGACGGGUAACCGUCAGGUUCGCUGCGAGAAGUUCAUCAAACCUUAUCAUUUAGAGGAAGGAGAAGUCGUAACA
RNAcentral lists this ribosomal RNA (330 nucleotides) under uncultured eukaryote. RNAcentral's name for it is "partial 18S ribosomal RNA". It matches the Rfam family "Eukaryotic small subunit ribosomal RNA", at positions 1470 to 1796 of the family's 1831-position model. The record is from RNAcentral.